This 307-nucleotide unclassified non-coding RNA is filed under the name Hevea brasiliensis (rubber tree). The record is from RNAcentral. Lineage: Eukaryota; Viridiplantae; Streptophyta; Magnoliopsida; Malpighiales; Euphorbiaceae.
AGUUCCGGAAAUGACUAUAGCUGAAGCUCAAAACUCUGUCUUUGAGAUGGCAAAUGCAGAAUCUGCUCAAACUGGAGUAACUGAAGUGCCUCAAGAAGUUAUAGUCAGAGAGGAAACUGAUUCUGGUAUGCCAGUACUAGAAGCACAAACAAUUCAAGAUAUUGAGUCAGCGUUUUGGCAAGUUUAUGAGAAAGAAAUGGAGAAAUCUAAUGUUUUUGAGCUAUAUAAUGCUGAAUAUUCUGGAAUGCCAGUGUUGGAAGCACAAACUGUUGAAGAUAUUGAGUUAGCAUUUAGAGGUACUUCUGAG